AAAGUUUGUAAAAUUAAAUUUCUAAUUUAAUUAAAGCAUUUAUAUGUUAAACUUUU
Molecule: transfer RNA, 56 nt
Filed under: Ammothea carolinensis
Lineage: Eukaryota; Metazoa; Arthropoda; Pycnogonida; Pantopoda; Ammotheidae
Description: tRNA-Ser
Source: RNAcentral